GAUGAACGCUGGCGGCGUGCCUAAUACAUGCAAGUCGAGCGAACAGACGAGGAGCUUUCUCCUUUUACGUUAGCGGCGGACGGGUGAUUAACACGUAGGUAACCUACCUAGAAGACUGGCGUAACUUCGGGAAACCGGAGCUAAUACCCGAUAAUAUUUCGAACCUCAUGGUUCGAUGGUGAAAGAUGGCUUUGCUAUCACUUAUACAUGGACCUGCGCCGGAUUAGCUAGUUGGUAAGGUAACGGCUUACCAAGGCAACGAUACGUAGCCGACCUGAGAGGGUGAUCGGCCACACUGGAACUGAGACACGGUCCAGACUCCUACGGGAGGCAGCAGUAGGGAAUCUUACGCAAUGGGCGAAAGCCUGACGGAGCAACGCCGCGUGAGUGAUGAAGGUCUUCGGAUCGUAAAACUCUGUUAUUAGGGAAGAACAAAAGUGUAAGUAACUGUGCACGUCUUGACGGUACCUAAUCAGAAAGCCACGGCUAACUACGUG
This 497-nucleotide ribosomal RNA is filed under the name uncultured bacterium. RNAcentral's name for it is "partial 16S ribosomal RNA". It matches the Rfam family "Bacterial small subunit ribosomal RNA", at positions 28 to 507 of the family's 1533-position model. The record is from RNAcentral.